GGAGGGUGCAAGCGUUAAUCGGAAUUACUGGGCGUAAAGCGCACGCAGGCGGUUUGUUAAGUCAGAUGUGAAAUCCCCGGGCUCAACCUGGGAACUGCAUCUGAUACUGGCAAGCUUGAGUCUCGUAGAGGGGGGUAGAAUUCCAGGUGUAGCGGUGAAAUGCGUAGAGAUCUGGAGGAAUACCGGUGGCGAAGGCGGCCCCCUGGACGAAGACUGACGCUCAGGUGCGAAAGCGUGGGGAGCAAACAGGAUUAGAUACCCUGGUAGUCCACGCCGUAAACGAUGUCGACUUGGAGGUUGUGCCCUUGAGGCGUGGCUUCCGGAGCUAACGCGUUAAGUCGACCGCCUGGGGAGUACGGCCGCAAAGGUUA
RNAcentral lists this ribosomal RNA (371 nucleotides) under uncultured organism. RNAcentral's name for it is "partial 16S ribosomal RNA". It matches the Rfam family "Bacterial small subunit ribosomal RNA", at positions 527 to 896 of the family's 1533-position model. The record is from RNAcentral.